This 72-nucleotide transfer RNA is filed under the name Marmota monax (woodchuck). RNAcentral describes it as "tRNA.Ala". Lineage: Eukaryota; Metazoa; Chordata; Mammalia; Rodentia; Sciuridae. The record is from RNAcentral.
GUGGGCUGUGUCUCAGUGGUAGAGUGAUCGCCUGGCACCUGUAAGGCACUGGGUUCAAUCUUCAGCACCACA